Molecule: long non-coding RNA, 305 nt
Filed under: Nicotiana benthamiana
Lineage: Eukaryota; Viridiplantae; Streptophyta; Magnoliopsida; Solanales; Solanaceae
Description: long non-coding RNA (NBEN_LNC003372)
Source: RNAcentral
AAAGUGAAACAGAUGAUUGAGGUUCAUAAAAUCCAUGAUGCAUAUGGUCACCCCAAAUAUCUUCCCAAAUCCCUGAUGACUCAUCAUAUAAUUCUGCUAUUCCUUUUUUCAACUCCUGUUGGUUCUGUACAUCAACUUCUGGUGUUGAGACACCAUUCAUUGCAGCAACACCUUUCAUUCUUCUUUUCUGUACAUCAACUUCUGGUGUUGACAUUGCAGCAACACCUGUCAUUCUUCUUCUUGUUCUAGUAUUACUAUUACAAGUUCUAACACUUUGUCUUCUUGUUGUUUCUUUGAUAUUGUGA